UACGGAGGGGGCUAGCGUUGUUCGGAAUUACUGGGCGUAAAGCGCACGUAGGCGGCGAUUUAAGUCAGAGGUGAAAGCCCGGGGCUCAACCCCGGAACUGCCUUCGAUACUGUACGGCUCGAGACCGGAAGAGGUGAGUGGAACUGCGAGUGUAGAGGUGAAAUUCGUAGAUAUUCGCAAGAACACCAGUGGCGAAGGCGGCUCACUGGUCCGGUUCUGACGCUGAGGCGCGAAAGCGUGGGGAGCAAACAGG
Molecule: ribosomal RNA, 253 nt
Filed under: uncultured bacterium
Lineage: Bacteria
Description: partial 16S ribosomal RNA
Rfam family: Bacterial small subunit ribosomal RNA
Source: RNAcentral